Molecule: long non-coding RNA, 244 nt
Filed under: Homo sapiens (human)
Lineage: Eukaryota; Metazoa; Chordata; Mammalia; Primates; Hominidae
Description: HSALNT0052069
Source: RNAcentral
CGCAAGCCUCAGGCACACGCGGAUGGCCAGGAUCCCCAGCAGGUCUCUGGAGCAGAGUUCGCCACCCAGGGCAAAGCUUCCCAAAUUCCAGGACACUCCAUUCUUUGUUUUCAAGACCCAGCUCUAGACCCCAUUCCCUGAACUUCAGUAAUCAGUGUUUCACCUGGAAGAGACUCGUCAGAGCAUGUGUUCCCAGCUGCAGCUGAAACAGUUUUCAUGCAUUGAGUAAAACUGUGUGGUGCAC